Molecule: ribosomal RNA, 694 nt
Filed under: alpha proteobacterium GWS-SE-H129
Lineage: Bacteria; Pseudomonadati; Pseudomonadota; Alphaproteobacteria
Description: bacterial SSU rRNA
Rfam family: Bacterial small subunit ribosomal RNA
Source: RNAcentral
AGUUUGAUCCUGGCUCAGAACGAACGCUGGCGGCAGGCUUAACACAUGCAAGUCGAACGCAUCCUUCGGGGUGAGUGGCAGACGGGUGAGUAACGCGUGGGAAUCUACCCAUCUCUACGGGAUAGCUCCGGGAAACUGGAGAUAAUACCGUAUACGUCCUCCGGGAGAAAGAUUUAUCGGGGAUGGAUGAGCCCGCGUUGGAUUAGCUAGUUGGUGGGGUAAUGGCCUACCAAGGCGACGAUCCAUAGCUGGUCUAAGAGGAUGAUCAGCCACAUUGGGACUGAGACACGGCCCAAACUCCUACGGGAGGCAGCAGUGGGGAAUAUUGGACAAUGGGCGCAAGCCUGAUCCAGCCAUGCCGCGUGAGUGAUGAAGGCCCUAGGGUUGUAAAGCUCUUUCAGUGGGGACGAUAAUGACGGUACCCACAGAAGAAGCCCCGGCUAACUUCGUGCCAGCAGCCGCGGUAAUACGAAGGGGGCUAGCGUUGUUCGGAAUUACUGGGCGUAAAGCGCACGUAGGCGGACAUUUAAGUCAGGGGUGAAAUCCCGGGGCUCAACCCCGGAACUGCCUCUGAUACUGGGUGUCUUGAGUGUGGUAGAGGUGAGUGGAAUUNCGAGUGUAGAGGUGAAAUUCGUAGAUAUUCGCAGGAACACCAGUGGCGAAGCGGCUCACUGGACCACAACUGACGCUGAGG